RNAcentral lists this ribosomal RNA (375 nucleotides) under uncultured organism. RNAcentral describes it as "partial 16S ribosomal RNA". It matches the Rfam family "Bacterial small subunit ribosomal RNA", at positions 524 to 896 of the family's 1533-position model. The record is from RNAcentral.
CGGGGGGGGGGCAAGCGUUGUUCGGAAUUACUGGGCGUAAAGGGCGCGUAGGCGGACCAGACAGUCUCUCGUGAAAUCCCACGGGCUCAACCGUGGAACUGCGGGAGAUACUACUGGUCUUGAGUUCGGGAGAGGAGUGUGGAAUUCCCAGUGUAGCGGUGAAAUGCGUAGAUAUUGGGAGGAACACCGGUGGCGAAGGCGGCACUCUGGACCGAUACUGACGCUGAGGCGCGAAAGCUAGGGGAGCAAACGGGAUUAGAUACCCCGGUAGUCCUAGCUGUAAACGAUGAGCACUUGGUGUAGCGGGUAUCGACCCCUGCUGUGCCGGAGUUAACGCAUUAAGUGCUCCGCCUGGGGAGUACGGUCGCAAGGCUG